Molecule: ribosomal RNA, 253 nt
Filed under: uncultured bacterium
Lineage: Bacteria
Description: partial 16S ribosomal RNA
Rfam family: Bacterial small subunit ribosomal RNA
Source: RNAcentral
UACGUAGGUGGCAAGCGUUGUCCGGAUUUACUGGGCGUAAAGAGCGCGCAGGCGGUCGAUUUAGUCGCGUGUGAAAGCCCCCGGCUCAACUGGGGAGGGUCACGCGAUACUGAUCGACUCGAAGGCAGGAGAGGGUAGUGGAAUUCCCGGUGUAGUGGUGAAAUGCGUAGAGAUCGGGAGGAACAACAGUGGCGAAGGCGGCUUCCUGGCCUGUUCUUGACGCUGAGGCGCGAAAGCUAGGGGAGCAAACGGG